UACAGAGGUGGCAAGCGUUGUCCGGAUUUAUUGGGCGUAAAGGGUCCGUAGGCGGCCUAGAAAGUCGGAUGUGAAAUCCCACAGCUUAACUGUGGAACUGCAUUCGAAACUUCUAAGCUCGAGUAUGAUAGGGGCAAAGGGAAUUCCCGGUGUAAGAGUGAAAUCUGUAGAGAUCGGGAGGAACACCAGUCGCGUAGGCGCUUUGCUGGAUCAUUACUGACGCUGAGGGGCGAAAGCCAGGGGAG
This 245-nucleotide ribosomal RNA is filed under the name uncultured bacterium. RNAcentral describes it as "partial 16S ribosomal RNA". It matches the Rfam family "Bacterial small subunit ribosomal RNA", at positions 524 to 768 of the family's 1533-position model. The record is from RNAcentral.